RNAcentral lists this ribosomal RNA (431 nucleotides) under uncultured bacterium. RNAcentral's name for it is "partial 16S ribosomal RNA". It matches the Rfam family "Bacterial small subunit ribosomal RNA", at positions 29 to 507 of the family's 1533-position model. The record is from RNAcentral.
AACGAACGCUGGCGGCAGGCCUAACACAUGCAAGUCGAGCGCCCUUUCGGGGGAGCGGCGGACGGGUGAGUAACGCGUGGGAAUAUGCCCUUCUCUACGGAAUAGCCUCGGGAAACUGAGAGUAAUACCGUAUACGCCCUCUGGGGGCAAGAUUUAUCGGGGAAGGAUUAGCCCGCGUUGGAUUAGGUAGUUGGUGGGGUAAUGGCCUACCAAGCCGACGAUCCAUAGCUGGGUUGAGAGUAUGAUCAGCCACACUGGGACUGGGACACGGCCCAGACUCCUACGGGAGGCAGCAGUGGGGAAUCUUAGACAAUGGGGGCAACCCUGAUCUAGCCAUGCCGGGUGAGUGAUGAAGGCCUUAGGGUUGUAAAGCUCUUUCAGCUGGGAAGAUAAUGACGGUACCAGCAGAAGAAGCCCCGGCUAACUCCGUG